This is a long non-coding RNA of Aethalodelphis obliquidens (Pacific white-sided dolphin), 1713 nucleotides long. RefSeq lists it as uncharacterized. Lineage: Eukaryota; Metazoa; Chordata; Mammalia; Artiodactyla; Delphinidae. The transcript has 3 exons. The record is from RefSeq and is a predicted model, not a curated record.
CAGGUCUGGGCUGAGGACAGAGCCUAGCAAAAGAACAUGCUUAAUCCACGUGAGCGCUUCUUAACAGCAGUCUCCCCCAAACCUCUCAUAAGUGCCAGUCAACGCCCCCUCCAACUUCCACACUCUGGAACUUUCUUCCAUCCCUUUCCACUACCCUCCCUUCAAAACAAAUUACUUCCUUUCACUAAAAAUCGAGAAACACACCCAGCCCCUCCCUUUCUUUAAGAACUCUUAAUUGUCUCCCCUCAGGGUAAUUUCUGCUUCGUGAGGAAGUUCCGGCUACAUACCACCUUAAACCCAAAGGAAGCAAUAAUGGUGCAGUUCAGGCAGAGCGCCAGGGCCCUCUGAUCCAGCCAGCUGAGGGUGAGUUUUACAAUGAAUUCCAUUCAUCUAUUCAUCAGAUGAUGAUGAUGAUGAUAAUGAAAGGAGAGUGCUUGCUAUAUGCCUGACACCGUGCAAUACACCUUAAAUCAUCCAUUCCUUCCGACCACUCUGGGAGUUUGCAAUUGCAUAGGCUCGGCAGGAUCAUCUCUCAGCUGCACAUGGCAUCAGCUGGGAUAGCUGACUACCUGGAAGAUCCACUUCCCAGAUGGCUCACUCACAAGGCUGGGAUCUCAGUGGAGACUGUGGGUGAGCUGGGAGCCUAGUUGCCUUCCAUGUGGGCCUAUCCAUGCAGCUGCUUGGGCUUCCUCACAGCAUGGCAUCUGGGUUCCAAGAGGGAGGAAGUGAAAGCUGCCUGUUUCCUUAAAGGUCAGGCCCAGAGUGGCCGUCACUUCCACUGGGUCCUAGUCCCAACCCAGACUCAAGGGGUUACAGGUAAGCUCCACAUCUUGAUGGAGGAGGGGCAUAUGUGUACAGAGAGGGUAGGGGUUGUUUGGAGUCAUCUUUGGAGACUAACUACCACAACUAGCAUUUAUCAAGCUUUUCCUAUGUCCCCAGUAUGGUGCUGGGCCCACAUGCAAUCUCACAGUAUGGUGCUGGCCCACAUGCAAUCUCACAACAGUCAAGUAAGGCAGGAACAAUGAUCAUCCCCAUUUUACAGAUGUGUAAACUGAGUCACAAACAGGUAGGUAAUUUGCCCAAAGCCAUUUGGCUUGUAGGAAGAGGGCCCAGAAUCAAACCUGAGCAGUCUGCCUCCAGAGCCCACCCUCUGAACUAGCAGCAAAAUCCACUAGUCAUUACAGUUUUUCUUGAGAUGCAAUUUUCACAUUAACAACAAAGUGGAACUGUGCCCAAGAUGCUAGCGAGUUCCAAAUAAAACAAAAUGUGACAUUCAUUAUGUUUCAGCACAACUCAUUCUGGAAAUUUGUGCCACAGAAUGACUUGCAUUUUCCCCUAGGAGCCCUCUGCGGCAGACGUGGCCAGUCCCUCCCCAAUACCCAUUUCUCUAUCUUAUGUAGCAGUAGACAUUUUAGCUGGGCACCUGGCUUCCCAAAUAACAACUGCUUUUUUUUUUUUUUCCCCAGCUCCCCUUCAGAACAGAAGUGAUGGGAGUGAUCUCUGGGUCAGGUCUGCUGGCUGACUAUGGGUGCAAUGGCCGGAGCUGGAGCGACUGCUUUGGACCAUGAGAUGAAAGCUGAGUGUGGAGGGACAGACAGGGCAGCAGAAGCCUGAGGUGUUUGAAUGACUUUGGGGAGCAGCUAAAUCCUUGAGCCCUGACCGCCCCCCCCCCACACCUCUGGCCUCUUACCUAAGAGAGAACUAAAAUUCUAC